RNAcentral lists this ribosomal RNA (455 nucleotides) under uncultured bacterium. RNAcentral's name for it is "bacterial SSU rRNA". It matches the Rfam family "Bacterial small subunit ribosomal RNA", at positions 28 to 524 of the family's 1533-position model. The record is from RNAcentral.
GAUAAACGCUGGCGGCGUGCCUAACACAUGCAAGUCGAACGAUCCCGCAAGGGAGAGUGGCGGAAGGGUGAGUAACACGUGGGAAUCUACCUCCUCGCAGGGAACAACCUCUCGAAAGAGAGGCUAAUACCCAAAAGGGUCAGAAAUGAUCAGAGUCGAAAGGCGUGAGGAGAGGAGCCCGCGGCCCAUCAGCUAGUUGGUGAGGUAAUGGCUUACCAAGGCUACGACGGGUAGGGGAUCUGAGAGGAUGUCCCCCACACUGGAACUGAAACACGGUCCAGACGCCUACGGGUGGCAGCAGUGAGGAAUAUUGGACAAUGGGCGAAAGCCCGAUCCAGCAACGCCGCGUGGAGGAUGAAGGCCUUCGGGUCGUAAACCUUCUUUAGAGGGAGACGAGAAAGGACGGUAUCCCUAGAAUAAGCGACGGCAAACUACGUGCCAGCAGCCGCGGUAAU